CCCUUAGAUGUUCGGGGCUGCACGCGCGCUACACUGGUGCACUCAACAAGUUUACAACCUUGAUCGAUAGGUCUGGGUAAUCUUUUGAAUAUGCACCGUGCUAGGGAUAGAUUAUUGCAAUUAUUAAUCUUGAACGAGGAAUUCCUAGUAAAUGCAAGUCAUCAGCUUGCGUUGAUUACGUCCCUGCCCUUUGUACACACCGCCCGUCGCACCUACUGAUUGGAUGACUCGGUGAAGAAUCGGGACCGUGAGAACAAUCGAUUCAUUUCGAAUGUACUUGUGGGAACCUUUCUUAACCUCGUUUUCUAGAAGAAGGUGAAGUCGUAACA
Molecule: ribosomal RNA, 329 nt
Filed under: uncultured eukaryote
Lineage: Eukaryota
Description: partial 18S ribosomal RNA
Rfam family: Eukaryotic small subunit ribosomal RNA
Source: RNAcentral